This 697-nucleotide ribosomal RNA is filed under the name uncultured bacterium. RNAcentral's name for it is "bacterial SSU rRNA". It matches the Rfam family "Bacterial small subunit ribosomal RNA", at positions 8 to 694 of the family's 1533-position model. The record is from RNAcentral.
AGAGUUUGAUCCUGGCUCAGAUUGAACGCUGGCGGCAGGCUUAACACAUGCAAGUCGAGCGGUAGCACAGGGGAGCUUGCUCCCUGGGUGACGAGCGGCGGACGGGUGAGUAAUGUCUGGGAAACUGCCUGAUGGAGGGGGAUAACUACUGGAAACGGUAGCUAAUACCGCAUAACGUCGCAAGACCAAAGAGGGGGACCUUAGGGCCUCUUGCCAUCAGAUGUGCCCAGAUGGGAUUAGCUAGUAGGUGGGGUAAUGGCUCACCUAGGCGACGAUCCCUAGCUGGUCUGAGAGGAUGACCAGCCACACUGGAACUGAGACACGGUCCAGACUCCUACGGGAGGCAGCAGUGGGGAAUAUUGCACAAUGGGCGCAAGCCUGAUGCAGCCAUGCCGCGUGUGUGAAGAAGGCCUUCGGGUUGUAAAGCACUUUCAGCGAGGAGGAAGGUGGUGAACUUAAUACGUUCAUCAAUUGACGUUACUCGCAGAAGAAGCACCGGCUAACUCCGUGCCAGCAGCCGCGGUAAUACGGAGGGUGCAAGCGUUAAUCGGAAUUACUGGGCGUAAAGCGCACGCAGGCGGUUUGUUAAGUCAGAUGUGAAAUCCCCGGGCUCAACCUGGGAACUGCAUUUGAAACUGGCAAGCUAGAGUCUCGUAGAGGGGGGUAGAAUUCCAGGUGUAGCGGUGAAAUGCGUAGA